ACUCCAUCUCACUGGCGCGAGGCCACACCGCUGUGGAAGUUCAUGGAUGCCACUCGCCCGCGUGAGAUCUGCGCCGCCAGCCUCGCUCCCUGCUGGGCUAUGUCCUCACCUCCGAAACUGAUUACAGACGCAGAUUUGGAAAUUCCCACUUCGGCUGUAGGAUCCAGGUAGCCUGGCAUUCAGCUCGGCAUCAUCAGCGGAAGGCGUGGUGGGAUUGUUAGUGCUCCCUGCUGCUGAACUCGCCGGCUGCCCAACUGUUGACCUGCCUACUCGAAUGCGUCGGGACGAUUCAGGCCAUUUGUAACAUGAUGCAAUCUGACCAGAUCAGGUUUAGGCUAGCAUUUGCUUUCAACAUGUUUGAUGGAAUGUCCUACAGGCUGCAGCUGCCGAUGGUGUGCUUGGUGCAAGAUAGUGGUGUUAAUAUUACCACGAAAUAGGCGUUAUGUCAAUUGUUCUUGAGGUCUAUUUUUAAAGGGGGGUCCUAUGUAUAGAAGGUGAGUUAUCAGAAUCCUUUGUCACUAUAAGUUACAGUGUUUGAGUUACGUGUGAGGUUCCUAGAUUUAACUUUUAGGUAUGGUCUUUGCACACUAACAGUUACUCAAAAUGCAUGAUUUUGGUUCA
This is a long non-coding RNA of Lolium rigidum, 621 nucleotides long. RefSeq lists it as uncharacterized. The record is from RefSeq and is a predicted model, not a curated record. The transcript has 4 exons. NCBI's taxonomy places the organism in Eukaryota, Viridiplantae, Streptophyta, Magnoliopsida, Poales, Poaceae.